Molecule: non-coding RNA, 125 nt
Organism: Gossypium hirsutum (cotton)
Lineage: Eukaryota; Viridiplantae; Streptophyta; Magnoliopsida; Malvales; Malvaceae
Source: Rfam
UGUUAAAAACUCCAUCCAUUUGUACUGUUAACUAACCCAACAGUGACAUAUGGCGUGCUACGUGCACCUCAUGCUAACGUAUAGAAACCAGUUUUUAACUGUAUAAAUUGAUGAGAUUUUUAAUA